Herpailurus yagouaroundi (jaguarundi) is the source of this 126-nucleotide long non-coding RNA. RefSeq lists it as uncharacterized. NCBI's taxonomy places the organism in Eukaryota, Metazoa, Chordata, Mammalia, Carnivora, Felidae. The record is from RefSeq and is a predicted model, not a curated record. The transcript is spliced from 4 exons.
UGUGACAAUCCAGCACAGGUGCAUAUCUAGCACUGAUUUGGCCUGGAUGGUUCAGGAUAAUCACCUGAGUUGUGAAGCCAGCUGCUUCCAUUGAUAGCACACACGUCUGAGCUCCAGCACACAGUG